CCUACGGGUGGCAGCAGUCGAGAAUCAUUCACAAUGGGGGAAACCCUGAUGGUGCGACGCCGCGUGGGGGAAUGAAGGUCUUCGGAUUGUAAACCCCUGUCAUGUGGGAGCAAAUUAAAAAGAUAGUACCACACGAGGAAGAGACGGCUAACUCUGUGCCAGCAGCCGCGGUAAUACAGAGGUCUCAAGCGUUGUUCGUAAUCACUGGGCGUAAAGCGUUCGUAGGCUGUUUCGUAAGUCGUGUGUGAAAGGCGCGGGCUCAACCCGCGGACGGCACAUGAUACUGCGAGACUAGAGUAAUGGAGGGGGAACCGGAAUUCGCGGUGUAGCAGUGAAAUGCGUAGAUAUCGAGAGGAACACUCGUGGCGAAGGCGGGUUCCUGGACAUUAACUGACGCUGAGGCACGAAGGCCAGGGGAGCGAAAGGGAUUAGAUACCCUUGUAGUC
This 446-nucleotide ribosomal RNA is filed under the name uncultured bacterium. RNAcentral's name for it is "partial 16S ribosomal RNA". It matches the Rfam family "Bacterial small subunit ribosomal RNA", at positions 338 to 795 of the family's 1533-position model. The record is from RNAcentral.